CCACCCUUUAAUGUUUGAUGUUCUAACGUGGACCCGUGAUCCGGGUUGCGGACAGUGUCUGGUGGGUAGUUUGACUGGGGCGGUCUCCUCCUAAAGAGUAACGGAGGAGCACGAAGGUUGGCUAAUCCUGGUCGGACAUCAGGAGGUUAGUGCAAUGGCAUAAGCCAGCUUGACUGCGAGCGUGACGGCGCGAGCAGGUGCGAAAGCAGGUCAUAGUGAUCCGGUGGUUCUGAAUGGAAGGGCCAUCGCUCAACGGAUAAAAGGUACUCCGGGGAUAACAGGCUGAUACCGCCCAAGAGUUCAUAUCGACGGCGGUGUUUGGCACCUCGAUGUCGGCUCAUCACAUCCUGGGGCUGAAGUAGGUCCCAAGGGUAUGGCUGUUCGCCAUUUAAAGUGGUACGCGAGCUGGGUUUAGAACGUCGUGAGACAGUUCGGUCCCUAUCUGCCGUGGGCGCUGGAGAACUGAGGGGGGCUGCUCCUAGUACGAGAGGACCGGAGUGGACGCAUCACUGGUGUUCGGG
This 521-nucleotide ribosomal RNA is filed under the name Salmonella enterica. RNAcentral describes it as "partial 23S ribosomal RNA". It matches the Rfam family "Bacterial large subunit ribosomal RNA", at positions 2200 to 2720 of the family's 2925-position model. The record is from RNAcentral. Lineage: Bacteria; Pseudomonadati; Pseudomonadota; Gammaproteobacteria; Enterobacterales; Enterobacteriaceae.